Molecule: small nuclear RNA, 100 nt
Filed under: Neotoma lepida (desert woodrat)
Lineage: Eukaryota; Metazoa; Chordata; Mammalia; Rodentia; Cricetidae
Source: RNAcentral
UGGCUUUGACAGCACAUACACUAGGAUUGGAAUGAGACAGAUAUUAGCAUGGCCUCUGAGCUAAUAUGACCCUUACAUUUAUGAAGAAUUCCAUAUUUUU